RNAcentral lists this ribosomal RNA (492 nucleotides) under uncultured bacterium. Its description in RNAcentral is "partial 16S ribosomal RNA". It matches the Rfam family "Bacterial small subunit ribosomal RNA", at positions 29 to 507 of the family's 1533-position model. The record is from RNAcentral.
AGUGAACGCUGGCGGUAGGCCUAACACAUGCAAGUCGAACGGCAGCACAGUAAGAGCUUGCUCUUACGGGUGGCGAGUGGCGGACGGGCGAGGAGUACAUUGGAAUGUACUUUUUCGUGGGGACUAACGUAGGGAAACUUACGCUACUACCGCUUAUAACCUACGGGUGAAAACAGGCGAUCUUCGGACUUUGCGCGAUUGAAUGAGCCGAUGUCGGAUUAGCUAGUGGGCGGGGUAAAGGCCCAAUAAGGCGACGCCCCGUAACUGGUCUGAGAGGAUGAUCAGCCACACUGGAACUGAGACACGUACCAGACUACUACGAGAGGCAGAAGUGGGGAAUAUUGGACAAUGGGAGCAAGCCUGAUCCAGCCAUACCGCGUGAGUGAAGAAGGCCUUCGGGUUGUAAAGCUUAGUUGUUGUGAAAGAAAAGCAGCAGUUUAAUAUACCGCUGUUCUGACGGUACUCAAAGAAUAAGCACCGGCUAACUUCGUG